ACACUCCUGCGGGAGGCAGCAGUGGGGAAUAUUGCACAAUGGGCGCAAGCCUGAUGCAGCCAUGCCGCGUGUAUGAAGAAGGCCUUCGGGUUGUAAAGUACUUUCAGCGGGGAGGAAGGCGAUAAGGUUAAUAACCUUGUUGAUUGACGUUACCCGCAGAAGAAGCACCGGCUAACUCCGUGCCAGCAGCCGCGGUAAUACGGAGGGUGCAAGCGUUAAUCGGAAUUACUGGGCGUAAAGCGCACGCAGGCGGUCUGUCAAGUCGGAUGUGAAAUCCCCGGGCUCAACCUGGGAACUGCAUUCGAAACUGGCAGGCUAGAGUCUUGUAGAGGGGGGUAGAAUUCCAGGUGUAGCGGUGAAAUGCGUAGAGAUCUGGAGGAAUACCGGUGGCGAAGGCGGCCCCCUGGACAAAGACUGACGCUCAGGUGCGAAAGCGUGGGGAGCAAACAGGAUUAGAAACCCGUGUAGUCCCAUG
This 475-nucleotide ribosomal RNA is filed under the name uncultured organism. RNAcentral describes it as "partial 16S ribosomal RNA". It matches the Rfam family "Bacterial small subunit ribosomal RNA", at positions 333 to 799 of the family's 1533-position model. The record is from RNAcentral.